This 253-nucleotide ribosomal RNA is filed under the name uncultured bacterium. RNAcentral's name for it is "partial 16S ribosomal RNA". It matches the Rfam family "Bacterial small subunit ribosomal RNA", at positions 524 to 776 of the family's 1533-position model. The record is from RNAcentral.
UACGUAGGUGGCAAGCGUUAUCCGGAUUUAUUGGGUGUAAAGGGCGUGUAGGCGGGAGCGCAAGUCAGAUGUGAAAACUCAGGGCUCAACCCUGAGCCUGCAUUUGAAACUGUGUUUCUUGAGUGCUGGAGAGGCAAUCGGAAUUCCGAGUGUAGCGGUGAAAUGCGUAGAUAUACGGAGGAACACCAGUGGCGAAGGCGGAUUGCUGGACAGUAACUGACGCUGAGGCGCGAAAGCGUGGGGAGCAAACAGG